GAGUUUGAUCCUGGCUCAGGAUGAACGCUGGCGGUAUGCUUUACACAUGCAAGUCGGACGGGAGUGUUAAAACUCUAGUGGCGGACGGGUGAGUAACACGUGAGAAUUUACCUUUAGGAGGGGAAUAACAGUUAGAAAUGACUGCUAAUGCCGCAUAUCAUAAAUAUGAAAGAAGAAAUUCGCCUAAAGAAAAGCUUGCGUCUGAUUAGCUAGUUGGUGAGGGUAAAGGCCUACCAAGGCGACGAUCAGUAGCUGGUUUGAGAGGACGACCAGUCACACUGGAACUGAGACACGGUCCAGACUCCUACGGGAGGCAGCAGUGGGGAAUUUUCUGCAAUGGGCGCAAGCCUGACAGAGCAAUACCGCGUGAGGGAAGAAAGCCCACAGGGUUGUAAAC
This 397-nucleotide ribosomal RNA is filed under the name uncultured bacterium. RNAcentral describes it as "bacterial SSU rRNA". It matches the Rfam family "Bacterial small subunit ribosomal RNA", at positions 9 to 430 of the family's 1533-position model. The record is from RNAcentral.